This 515-nucleotide ribosomal RNA is filed under the name uncultured bacterium. RNAcentral describes it as "partial 16S ribosomal RNA". It matches the Rfam family "Bacterial small subunit ribosomal RNA", at positions 28 to 523 of the family's 1533-position model. The record is from RNAcentral.
GAUGAACGCUGGCGGCGUGCCUAAUACAUGCAAGUCGAGCGAAUGGAUUAAGAGCUUGCUCUUAUGAAGUUAGCGGCGGACGGGUGAGUAACACGUGGGUAACCUGCCCAUAAGACUGGGAUAACUCCGGGAAACCGGGGCUAAUACCGAAUAACAUUUUGAACCGCAUGGUUCGAAAUUGAAAGGCGGCUUCGGCUGUCACUUAUGGAUGGACCCGCGUCGCAUUAGCUAGUUGGGGAGGUAACGGCUCACCAAGGCAACGAUGCGUAGCCGACCUGAGAGGGUGAUCGGCCACACUGGGACUGAGACACGGCCCAGACUCCUACGGGAGGCAGCAGUAGGGAAUCUUCCGCAAUGGACGAAAGUCUGACGGAGCAACGCCGCGUGAGUGAUGAAGGCUUUUGGGUCGUAAAACUCUGUUGUUAGGGAAGAACAAGUGCUAGUUGAAUAAGCUGGCACCUUGACGGUACCUAACCAGAAAGCCACGGCUAACUACGUGCCAGCAGCCGCCGUAA